GAUCAAAAACAACAGAUGUCUCCUGCUCUAACAGCCCAACAAGGUCCGUUAAAACAUAAAAUUUACCAUUGUAUGGUAGGCCUAUGCAAUCCAUUUGGGGACUUGGCAGAGGUGGUAGGUCUUCCCACUUGUCUGUCAGUGGAUUAUAAACUUCAGCAAGAACAAGUCCUCCUCCCGAUGAUGUGUUGCGCCCUCCAGCUACAUAAACCUUACCAGAGACAACACUGCAGGCAAAGUUAGAACGUGCUGUUCUCAUACUUGCAACAUUUCUCCACUCUUUUCUGAAAGGAUCAAAUUGGA
RNAcentral lists this unclassified non-coding RNA (300 nucleotides) under Hevea brasiliensis (rubber tree). The record is from RNAcentral. Lineage: Eukaryota; Viridiplantae; Streptophyta; Magnoliopsida; Malpighiales; Euphorbiaceae.